UUUUUCUUUUUUUCGAUGAGUUGAUGUUUCAAUGUCCUGGAGACAGAGAUUGAGUUAAUUUAGUAAAGCAAAGGUCAAGUCAUUUAUUUGUUGUCAUAGAGGAGGAAAUGAGUAAUUGAUUUGGUUAAUAUUAUAUUUUUUUAAACUGGUAAUCCCUAUGAGUUUUAGACAAAACCUCAGUGCAGUCAGGGGUGUUCUUACUAGUUGAUACCUCAACACAUUGACAUAGAUCGUUGUAUUGGCAAAUUGCUUACUGCGUUAGGUGGUUCUUUAAUAAAAUGGGACCUAGAUUGAAAGUGGGUGUGCUUGUAUGGGUUGAUUGGAAAUGGUUGGUGGGGAGGAGCCAGUUGUCUUCAGUUGUUUGACUGAUUGAGCUAAUAAAGUUCCUGUUUUUCCUAAAAACAUUCCUAGGUUGUUGCUGUUGCCUUUGAGGACAGGAUGCAAUUCUUGUAAGAAAAUAAGAAGCCUGAGGAUACAGAAAGAGUAUUGAUGAAAAGACAAGCUUGAAGAACACCUUUCAUCAUCUUGUAAGAAAGGUCUAAUGGUGAUGAACUCCAUUCCUGAAAGGCAACUUUUCCAGGUCGUGUUAAAAGUUCAGACUUACUCAGAAUCAUAUAACAGAACUCUACUUGAACUCUCUGAAGCAAAAGAAGUUUCCCCAUUUUGAUCAAGAGGGCUGUCAUUCUGAAACAGUCCAUGUGGCAAAGAAUUUAUGGCAGCUUACAGCCAACAACUUGCAAGGAACUGAGGCCUCUCAGUCCAUCAACCCACAAGAGAUGGAAUCCUGCCUGGGUUCUCUUGGAAGAAGAAUUUUCCCCAACCAAAUCUUGAGCUGAGUGUGAUCCUGGGCUGAGAUGUUGAUUGCAGGCUUGCAAGAGACCCUGAAGCUAAGGAACCAGCAGUGAUCUUUGCCUACUUUCAGACUACUCUGCCUUCAGUUAGCAAGGCAACCAUGUGGAUCAGGGCUGUGCACUCCAGACAAAAGAUCCAGAAACUAUAGUGAAAAUCUGAGGUGUUGUCAAACACUCAACUCAACCUCCUUUUACAUCUCAGCUGGAUCCUGAAGAAAAUUGCAGGCCCUGGGGUUUCAGUUUAUCUCAUGAGCUGAUAAGUUAGUCUGUUGGUGCCGCUUCACGGAUGCAGGAGAAGGCAUGAGACUCCUGGGUCAGAGGUAAAGGACUUUAUCACUCACAGCAGCAUGAGCACCAUAUUUGCACUGGUUCUUCUUUUUCCGCUCAUCCACUGGAGCCAGUGCGAGGGGGCCCAAAUAGAUGCUGCAUGUGCAAUGAGUUGCAUUACAGGAGAAAAACACUGAGCUUGGAGAAUUUACCAACUUAAGGCAACCACAAGUGGUAAGCAAGCCUGCCCUUUGUCCCUAAGAUAUGACCUCAUCCCUCAGGGCUGCUUGCUGUAAACACAGCCCUGAGAAACGGCUUAGGUAUGAUGCUGUCAGGGCUUUGCAUGCUUGGUAAAUCCUACUAAGACUUGUAGGAGUGUGACAGAUUUUGGAGACAAAAACAUAAUUAAGAUUGUGGAAGUAAGUCCACAUCUGGAAGGUCACCCCAUGAAAGACUGUUCUACUUUCAUUCCUUUAUUUAGUUAGUUUUGCAAAAAUAAAAUGUCCCUGGAUUUCUCAAUGUUUCCAUAACAUCCCUUUGCCUCCUGAGACAUGGAAACAUUUUACUCUUCACACACCAUGAAAACUACAGCUAUCACUGUUUAUCUUGUAAAUUGUUUUCAUCUAAUAGGAUAAUAAAACUUCUCUAUUUCCCCAAGAGAGCCAAGAGUGGGCCUGGACUGGGUCCCUAGGUUCAGCUGCAGGCUGCCCUGGCGGCUGGAACAUUCUCUCCCCAGGUACGUACUGACAUUUCAGUAGGAAAAAAUCCCCAGAUAGUGGGGGCAAUCUGGUUCUUAGAGAGAUUUUUAUUUGUAUACCAAAGGAUUGGAGGCCUUUUCAAAAACCUUCUCAGGAAGGGAGGGAGAGAGCUGCAUCCUUCUCCUUUAUAAGCAGAGAAAAACUGUCUUACUUCCACACUCUCACCUGUGGAUGGUUGUGCUGCUUAUGUAGGAAAAAAUCCUAUCAGCUCUCUUCAUGUCACCUGAAGAUAGGGGAAAAAGAAUCAAUGUAUUUACCAUUUACUGUGAGUUGACGGAAAAAUCUGUCUAUAAGCCAGAAUAUCUCCUAUGAGCAGUUCAGGGAAAAUCAAUAAAGGUAAAUAUUUUAAAAACCAACAUUAGUCAGUUUUCAACAAAUAUCUAUUGAUCAUCAAUUAUACGCCACACUCGGUUUUAAGGCCAAAGAUAAAUUAGAACUAA
Vicugna pacos (alpaca) is the source of this 2316-nucleotide non-coding RNA. Lineage: Eukaryota; Metazoa; Chordata; Mammalia; Artiodactyla; Camelidae. The record is from RefSeq and is a predicted model, not a curated record.